RNAcentral lists this unclassified non-coding RNA (287 nucleotides) under fungal sp. RNAcentral's name for it is "partial contains 5.8S ribosomal RNA, internal transcribed spacer 2, and large subunit ribosomal RNA". The stretch from base 1 to 71 matches the Rfam family "5.8S ribosomal RNA", at positions 84 to 154 of the family's 154-position model. The record is from RNAcentral. Lineage: Eukaryota; Fungi.
GUGAGUCAUCGAAUCUUUGAACGCACAUUGCGCCCGCUAGUAUUCUGGCGGGCAUGCCUGUCCGAGCGUCAUUUCAACCCCUCAAGCCCUGCUUGGUGCUGGGGCCCUACGUGCGCCGUAGGCCCCGAAUUACAGUGGCGGGCUCGCCGCGAUCCCGAGCGUAGUAGUACACCUCGCUCUGGGGCUCCGCGGCGGGUGCCGGCCGUGAAAACGACCAAGAAAAACAAGGUUGACCUCGGAUCAGGUAGGAAUACCCGCUGAACUUAAGCAUAUCAAUAAGCGGAGGA